CCUCAGUAACGGCGAGUGAAGCGGCAAAAGCUCAAAUUUGAAAUCUAGCACCUUCGGUGUUCGAGUUGUAAUUUGAAGAUGGCAACCUUGGGUUUGGCUCUUGUCUAUGUUCCUUGGAACAGGACGUCAUAGAGGGUGAGAAUCCCGUCUGAUGAGAUGCCCAUUCCUUUGUAAGGUGCUAUCGAAGAGUCGAGUUGUUUGGGAAUGCAGCUCUAAGUGGGUGGUAAAUUCCAUCUAAAGCUAAAUAUUGGCGAGAGACCGAUAGCGAACAAGUACAGUGAUGGAAAGAUGAAAAGAACUUUGAAAAGAGAGUGAAAAAGUACGUGAAAUUGUUGAAAGGGAAGGGCAUUAGAUCAGACUUGGUGUUUUACGAUUAUCUUCUCUUCUUGAGUUGUGCACUCGUAUUUCACUGGGCCAGCAUCGAUUCGGAUGGUAAGAUAAGAACAGUUGAAUGUGGCUCUUCGGAGUGUUAUAGCUUCUGUUGAUAUUGCCUGUCUGGAUCGAGGGCUGCGUCUUUUGACUAGGAUGCUGGCGUAAUGAUCUAAUGCCGCCCGUCUUGAAACACGGACCAAGGAGUCUAACGUCUAUGCGAGUGUUUGGGUGUAAAACCCGUACGCGUAAUGAAAGUGAACGUAGGUGAGAGCUCUUUUGAGUGCAUCAUCGACCGAUCCUGAUGUUUUCGGAUGGAUUUGAGUAAGAGCAUAGCUGUUGGGACCCGAAAGAUGGUGAACUAUGCCUGAAUAGGGUGAAGCCAGAGGAAACUCUGGUGGAGGCUCGUAGCGGUUCUGACGUGCAAAUCGAUCGUCGAAUUUGGGUAUAGGGGCGAAAGAC
RNAcentral lists this ribosomal RNA (831 nucleotides) under [Wickerhamomyces] edaphicus (nom. inval.). RNAcentral describes it as "LSU rRNA". It matches the Rfam family "Eukaryotic large subunit ribosomal RNA", at positions 78 to 931 of the family's 3401-position model. The record is from RNAcentral. Lineage: Eukaryota; Fungi; Ascomycota; Saccharomycetes; Phaffomycetales; Wickerhamomycetaceae.